RNAcentral lists this ribosomal RNA (750 nucleotides) under Metabacillus litoralis. Its description in RNAcentral is "bacterial SSU rRNA". It matches the Rfam family "Bacterial small subunit ribosomal RNA", at positions 406 to 1149 of the family's 1533-position model. The record is from RNAcentral. Lineage: Bacteria; Bacillati; Bacillota; Bacilli; Caryophanales; Bacillaceae.
UGAUGAAGGUUUUCGGAUCGUAAAACUCUGUUGUCGGGGAAGAACAAGUAUGAUAGUAACUGAUCGUACCUUGACGGUACCCGACCAGAAAGCCACGGCUAACUACGUGCCAGCAGCCGCGGUAAUACGUAGGUGGCAAGCGUUGUCCGGAAUUAUUGGGCGUAAAGCGCUCGCAGGCGGUUCUUUAAGUCUGAUGUGAAAUCUUGCGGCUCAACCGUAAACGUGCAUUGGAAACUGGAGGACUUGAGUGCAGAAGAGGAGAGUGGAAUUCCACGUGUAGCGGUGAAAUGCGUAGAGAUGUGGAGGAACACCAGUGGCGAAGGCGACUCUCUGGUCUGUAACUGACGCUGAGGAGCGAAAGCGUGGGGAGCGAACAGGAUUAGAUACCCUGGUAGUCCACGCCGUAAACGAUGAGUGCUAGGUGUUAGGGGGUUUCCGCCCCUUAGUGCUGAAGUUAACGCAUUAAGCACUCCGCCUGGGGAGUACGGCCGCAAGGCUGAAACUCAAAAGAAUUGACGGGGACCCGCACAAGCGGUGGAGCAUGUGGUUUAAUUCGAAGCAACGCGAAGAACCUUACCAGGUCUUGACAUCCUUUGACCGCUCUGGAGACAGAGUUUUCCCUUCGGGGACAAAGUGACAGGUGGUGCAUGGUUGUCGUCAGCUCGUGUCGUGAGAUGUUGGGUUAAGUCCCGCAACGAGCGCAACCCUUGAUCUUAGUUGCCAGCAUUUAGUUGGGCACUCUAAGGUGAC